GCCGAGGUGGUGAAAUUGGUAUACACGCUACCUUGAGGUGGUAGUGCCUAAAAAACGGGCGUACGGGUUCAAGUCCCGUCCUCGGCACCA
Molecule: transfer RNA, 90 nt
Filed under: Xenorhabdus bovienii
Lineage: Bacteria; Pseudomonadati; Pseudomonadota; Gammaproteobacteria; Enterobacterales; Morganellaceae
Description: tRNA-Leu (GAG) (tRNA-Leu-GAG-1-1)
Rfam family: tRNA
About the family: Transfer RNA (tRNA) molecules are approximately 80 nucleotides in length. Their secondary structure includes four short double-helical elements and three loops (D, anti-codon, and T loops).
Source: RNAcentral